UACGAUUGCAAUCAGCUACAACAUGACCUUUCUUGCCACACCGGACACACUUCUUGAUUUCCUCAGGGCAGACGUUGCUUUUGUGGCCUUUCUCACCACAAUUGAAACACACAAUCUCUGCAGCAUCCUUCUUCUUAGGCCGCCUAACAUCGACCAUCUUCUAUUUCCCUUUAUCAGCAGGGGCACUGUACGGCUUAGGACGACUCUGCUGUCCCUUGCCCUUUCUCUCAUUCACUACCUUGUAGUGAGCCUUCGUAUCCUCUUCGUAGAUCCUGCAGCUAUUAAC
Molecule: long non-coding RNA, 286 nt
Filed under: Medicago truncatula (barrel medic)
Lineage: Eukaryota; Viridiplantae; Streptophyta; Magnoliopsida; Fabales; Fabaceae
Description: long non-coding RNA (MTRU_LNC008511)
Source: RNAcentral